RNAcentral lists this ribosomal RNA (321 nucleotides) under uncultured eukaryote. RNAcentral describes it as "partial 18S ribosomal RNA". It matches the Rfam family "Eukaryotic small subunit ribosomal RNA", at positions 1470 to 1796 of the family's 1831-position model. The record is from RNAcentral.
CCCUUAGAUGUUCUGGGCCGCACGCGUGCUACACUGAGUGGAUCAGCGGGUCAGGUUGCGCGAAAGCGUUUCCUAAUCUUUAAAUCCGCUCGUGAUGGGGAUUGACGGUUGCAAUUUUCUGUCAUGAACGAGGAAUACCUUGUAAGCGCGGGUCAUCAUCCCGCGCUGAAUACGUCCCUGCCCUUUGUACACACCGCCCGUCGCUCCUACCAAUUGAGUGAUCCGGUGAAUAAUUCGGACUGCUGCAAUGCUUGGAUCCCGAGAAUUGCGGCGGAAAAGUUUAGUGAACCUUAUCACUUAGAGGAAGGAGAAGUCGUAACA